UGUGACGUGGUCAGCCUCAUUCAUCCU
RNAcentral lists this non-coding RNA (27 nucleotides) under Homo sapiens (human). The record is from RNAcentral. Lineage: Eukaryota; Metazoa; Chordata; Mammalia; Primates; Hominidae.